CCUACGGGAGGCAGCAGUGAGGAAUAUUGGUCAAUGGACGAGAGUCUGAACCAGCCAAGUAGCGUGAAGGAUGACUGCCCUAUGGGUUGUAAACUUCUUUUAUAUGGGAAUAAAACAGGGUAUGCAUACCCUCUUGUAUGUACCAUAUGAAUAAGGAUCGGCUAACUCCGUGCCAGCAGCCGCGGUAAUACGGAGGAUCCGAGCGUUAUCCGGAUUUAGUGGGUUUAAAGGGAGCGUAGGUGGAUUGUUAAGUCAGUUGUGAAGGUUUGCGGCUCAACCGUAAAAUUGCAGUUGAAACUGGCAGUAUUGAGUACAGUAGAGGUGGGCGGAAUUCGUGGUGUAGCGGUGAAAUGCUUAGAUAUCACGAAGAACUCCGAUUGCGAAGGCAGCUCACUGGACUGCAACUGACACUGAUGCUCGAAAGUGUGGGUAUCAAACAGGAUUAGAUACCCCUGUAGUC
This 460-nucleotide ribosomal RNA is filed under the name uncultured bacterium. Its description in RNAcentral is "partial 16S ribosomal RNA". It matches the Rfam family "Bacterial small subunit ribosomal RNA", at positions 338 to 795 of the family's 1533-position model. The record is from RNAcentral.